Molecule: ribosomal RNA, 253 nt
Filed under: uncultured bacterium
Lineage: Bacteria
Description: partial 16S ribosomal RNA
Rfam family: Bacterial small subunit ribosomal RNA
Source: RNAcentral
UACGAAGGGGGCUAGCGUUGCUCGGAAUCACUGGGCGUAAAGGGUGCGUAGGCGGGUCUUUAAGUCAGGGGUGAAAUCCUGGAGCUCAACUCCAGAACUGCCUUUGAUACUGAAGAUCUUGAGUUCGGGAGAGGUGAGUGGAACUGCGAGUGUAGAGGUGAAAUUCGUAGAUAUUCGGAAGAACACCAGUGGCGAAGGCGGCUCACUGGCCCGGUACUGACGCUGAGGUGCGAAAGCGUGGGGAGCGAACAGG